UAAUACGGAGGGUGCCAGCGUUGUCCGGAUUCAUUGGGUUUAAAGGGUGCGCAGGCGGGCACUUAAGUCGGGGGUGAAAGACGGUUGCUCAACAAUCGCAGUGCCUUCGAUACUGGGUGCCUUGGGUGAAGUCGAGGCGGAUGGAAUGCAAGGUGUAGCGGUGAAAUGCAUAGAUACCUUGCAGAACUCCGAUUGCGAAGGCAGUCCGCUAGGCUUUAACCGACGCUCAGGCACGAAAGCGUGGGGAUCAAACAGGAUUAGAUACCCUGGUAGUCCACGCCGUAAACGAUGAUCACUCGCUGUGGGCGAUAGACAGUCCGCGGCUUAGCGAAAGCGUUAAGUGAUCCACCUGGGGAGUACGCCCGCAAGGGUG
Molecule: ribosomal RNA, 373 nt
Filed under: uncultured bacterium
Lineage: Bacteria
Description: bacterial SSU rRNA
Rfam family: Bacterial small subunit ribosomal RNA
Source: RNAcentral